GCGGGAGUUUUUCCGUUUACUGGUGAAGGCCAUCUUUCAGGACAGUGGUGCUUUUGAAGCUACACCAAAUGGAUGCACACUGAAAUUUAACAUCCUACACUUGCAAAAUGGAGUAUAUCGAACCAUUGGCAGGAUGUUGUCCACGAUAAUAGUGCAAGGUGGAGAAGCACCAGCCUUUCUCUCUCCACAUGUAGUAGACUACAUUGUGUCAGGAGACAUUCUUCAAGUACACCUAACACCGGAUGAUAUAGGUGACCCUGAGUUAAGAGAGAAUCUGAAAAAGAACCCCAGUUUGCGUGUUCUGCUUGACCUAUCGGGGGAGGACAAAGAUCUGACAGCCAGUUUAAUUGCUGGGGUUCUCAGGCCAAGCUAUUCUGUCCUUGGGAGCAACAGAAGAGUUAGAGAGGAGCUGAUGGUGGUCAAAUUU
Molecule: long non-coding RNA, 427 nt
Organism: Oreochromis aureus
Lineage: Eukaryota; Metazoa; Chordata; Actinopteri; Cichliformes; Cichlidae
Source: Ensembl